Molecule: non-coding RNA, 842 nt
Organism: Macaca mulatta (Rhesus monkey)
Lineage: Eukaryota; Metazoa; Chordata; Mammalia; Primates; Cercopithecidae
Source: RefSeq, a predicted model, not a curated record
CGGGUCGCCUGGCGGUUGAGGUUGCAGAACCGCGGAGGGCGGAGGAAGGCGGGAUUUGCAACCCCUGUUCACGCCUCCUCCUGAGGAACUCACUUAUAAUUGUUUAUUAAAGGCGUUAUUCCAGCCAUCACCACACUGGAUCCUCUCAAGGAAGCGGGCGGGGAUUAUUAUUACCAUUUAACGAACAGGAAACUCAGCAUCAGCGAAAGAUGAGACCGGCUUUUACUUUUACUGCUGGUGGAGAAGGGGGAAGAGUAGGCCAGAAACAUCUUGCAUAACUGCAGUGCAAUAUCAAAACCAGGAACUUGACAUUGAUGCUAUCUACAGAACUUAUUCAAAUUCCACCAGCAAGGAGACAAUCUGAAAGACUUAUUGGUAGAAUUUGGGUUGAACAGAUGUGCUCCGUAGGUGUCCUAGUCCUGAAGCCCAGAGUGAGUCAAAAGUACCGGAGUUGGAGAUUCCUGCUGCAAACAUUUCCAUCCCCACCUGGGAGCCUGCCUUCCUGACAGUCCAGGCCCUUCAGCAGUAAGAAGGACCCUCUGAGAAGAGCGGUCGCUGCAGAGGCUGGAUGACAGACAGACACACCCACAAUCUUGGGGGAGGAAAUGGAUCCAGUCAGAGAGCAAAUGGAGCGGCCUCAUUUCCUUCCCUUUUGUCCUUUGCGGGAAACUGACAUUGACUCAGCUGUGAGCAGUGGGGUAGGGAGGGGUGUGAGGGGGUGUCUAGAGCAUCCUGAGGCUUGCCCUCCCUAUCUUGCUACUUAGGACUGUGGGCCCAGCCAUAAACCACUUUCUCCACCAUCUCGAGAGAAAGUUACACUUUAAAAAAAUUUUAUCUAUAUA